UGGCGGCAGGCUUACACAUGCAAGUCGAGCGCUGUAGCAAUACAGAGCGGCAGACGGGAGAGUAACACGUGGGAAAGUACCCUUCGGUUCGGAAUAACUCAGGGAAACUUGAGCUAAUACCGGAUACGUCCGAAAGGAGAAAGAUUUAUCGCCGAGGGAUCGGCCCGCGUCCGAUUAGCUAGUUGGUGAGGUAAUGGCUCACCAAGGCGACGAUCGGUAGCUGGUCUGAGAGGAUGAUCAGCCUCACUGGGACUGAGACACGGCCCAGACUCCUACGGGAGGCAGCAGUGGGGAAUAUUGGACAAUGGGCGCAAGCCUGACCCAGCCAUGCCGCGUGGGUGAUGAAGGCCUUAGGGUUGUAAAGCCCUUUCGGCGGGGAAGAUAAUGACGGUACCCGCAGAAGAAGCCCCGGCUAACUUCGUGCCAGCAGCCGCGGUAAUACGAAGGGGGCUAGCGUUGCUCGGAAUCACUGGGCGUAAAGCGCACGUAGGCGGAUCUUUAAG
RNAcentral lists this ribosomal RNA (503 nucleotides) under uncultured Alphaproteobacteria bacterium. RNAcentral's name for it is "bacterial SSU rRNA". It matches the Rfam family "Bacterial small subunit ribosomal RNA", at positions 37 to 587 of the family's 1533-position model. Lineage: Bacteria; Pseudomonadati; Pseudomonadota; Alphaproteobacteria. The record is from RNAcentral.